Long non-coding RNA from Mytilus californianus (California mussel), 1654 nucleotides. RefSeq lists it as uncharacterized. The transcript has 2 exons. The record is from RefSeq and is a predicted model, not a curated record. Lineage: Eukaryota; Metazoa; Mollusca; Bivalvia; Mytilida; Mytilidae.
GGGAAUAAAAAGAAAUUGUGGGGGGCCAAUUUUUUCUCAUUUCAGAUUUCAGAAAUUAAAAAGAAUUAUUCUUCAAAUAUUAUUUUUUUUUCAAAUUUCAAAUAUUGAAAAAUUUCAAGAAGUAAUCUUCAAUUGCACAGUAUGGCGCAUUAGAUUUGUAAAAUCUUUGAUCACAUUUAUUUAUUUGUUAUGCCGAAUCUAACAGUGUAUUUAGAUUUUUAAUUUUGGGUCCAGUUUUCAAAUUGGUCUACAUUAAUGUCCAAAGGGUCCAAAAUUAAACUUUGUUUGAUUUUAGCAAAAAUUGAAUAUAUGAGGUUCUUUGAUAUGCUGAAUCUAAACAUGUAUUUAGAUUUUUGAUUUUUGGCCCAGUUUUCAAGUUGGUCCAAAUUGGGGUCCAAAAUUAAACUUUGUUUGAUUUCAACAAAAAUUGAAUAUAUGGGGUUCUUUGAUAUGCUGAAUCUAACCAUGUAUUUAGAUUUUUUAUUUGUGGACCCCGUUAUCUAAUUGGUUCAUAUUGAGGUCAAAAGGGUCCAAAAUUAAACUUUGUUUGAUUUCAUCAAAAAUUGAAUUAUUGGGGUUCUUUGAUAUGCCAAAUCUAACCGUGUUUUUAGAUUUUUAAUUUGGGUCCCGUUUUUUAAAUUGGUCUUCAUUGAGGUCCAAAGGGUCCAAAAUUAAACUUAGUUUGAUUUUAACAAAAAUUGAAUUCUUGGGGUUCUUUGAUAUGCUGAAUCUAAACAUGUGUUUAGAUUUUUGAUUAUGGGCCCAGUUUUCAAGUUGGUCCAAGUUGGGGUCCAAAAUUAAACUUUUUUUGAUUUCAACAAAAAUUGAAUAUAUGGGGUUCUUUGAUAUGCUGAAUCUAACCAUGCAUUAAGAAUUUUUAUUUGUGGGCCCCCCUAUCAAAUUUGUUCAUAUUGAGGUCAAAAGGGUCCAAAAUUAAACUUUGUUUGAUUUCAUCAAAAAUUGAAUUAUUGGGGUUCUUUGAUAUUCCAAAUCUAACCGUGUAUUUAGAUUUUUAAUUUUAAGUCCCGUUUUUUAAAUUGGUCUACAUUAAGGUCCAAAGGGUCCAAAAUUAAACUUAGUUUGAUUUUAGCAAAAAUUGAAUUCUUGGGGUUCUUUGAUAUGCUGAAUCUAAACAUGUGUUUAGAUUUUUGAUUAUGGGCCCAGUUUUCAAGUUUGUCCAAGUUGGGGUCCAAAAUUAAACUUUGUUUGAUUUUAACAAAAAUUGAAUAUAUGGGGUUCUUUGAUACGCUGAAUCUAACCAUGUAUUUUGAUUUUGGACAUUGGACCAUAAUAGGUAAAUUAAAAAAAAUCAAGUUCUUAGACCACAUUCUUUCUGUGUCAGAAACCUAUGCUGUGUCAAAUAUUUAAUAACAAUCCAAAUUCAGAGCUGUAUCAAGCUUGAAUGUUGUGUCCAUACUUGCCCCAACUGUUCAGGGUUCGACCUCUGCGGUCGUAUCAAGCUGCGCCCCAGCGAAGCAUUUUAUUGUAAUUUAGCAUAAUAAUUGUUGCUUAUAAUGUACAAACAUUUUUUAAUGGUAAUUGUUUUGUUAAUAUGUAUAUUGUUUACUUUCUAUAUGAAAUCCAGGAACCCAAAGACUAACAACCACCUAAUAUUAUUUGUAUUUUAUCUAAUGAAAUAAAAGGUCAAAAUAGA